RNAcentral lists this ribosomal RNA (500 nucleotides) under Pseudomonas sp. CL1.88. RNAcentral's name for it is "bacterial SSU rRNA". It matches the Rfam family "Bacterial small subunit ribosomal RNA", at positions 1 to 500 of the family's 1533-position model. Lineage: Bacteria; Pseudomonadati; Pseudomonadota; Gammaproteobacteria; Pseudomonadales; Pseudomonadaceae. The record is from RNAcentral.
UUGAGCUUGAUCCCUGGCUCAGAUUGGAACGCUGGCGGCAGGCCUAACACAUGCAAGUCGAGCGGAUGACAGGAGCUUGCUCCUGAAUUCAGCGGCGGACGGGUGAGUAAUGCCUAGGAAUCUGCCUGGUAGUGGGGGACAACGUUUCGAAAGGAACGCUAAUACCGCAUACGUCCUACGGGAGAAAGCAGGGGACCUUCGGGCCUUGCGCUAUCAGAUGAGCCUAGGUCGGAUUAGCUAGUUGGUGAGGUAAUGGCUCACCAAGGCGACGAUCCGUAACUGGUCUGAGAGGAUGAUCAGUCACACUGGAACUGAGACACGGUCCAGACUCCUACGGGAGGCAGCAGUGGGGAAUAUUGGACAAUGGGCGAAAGCCUGAUCCAGCCAUGCCGCGUGUGUGAAGAAGGUCUUCGGAUUGUAAAGCACUUUAAGUUGGGAGGAAGGGCAUUAACAUUAAUACUUUAGUGUUUGACGUUACCGACAGAAUAAGCACCGGCUAA